ACGGUCAGGCACGAAAGCGUGGGUAUGGAACAGGCUUAGAUACCCUGGUAGUCCACGCCAGUAAACGAUGAAUGCUCACUGUCCGGGCCGUUUAAGGCCUGGGUGGUCAAGCGAAAGCGUUAAGCAUUCCACCUGGGGAGUACGCCGGCAACGGUGAAACUCAAAGGAAUUGACGGGGGCCCGCACAAGCGGAGGAACAUGUGGUUUAAUUCGAUGAUACGCGAGGAACCUUACCCGGGCUCAAACGGAAGGGGACAGUAUGAGAAAUCAUACAUUCCUUCGGGACCGCUUCCGAGGUGCUGCAUGGUUGUCGUCAGCUCGUGCCGUGAGGUGUCGGCUUAAGUGCCAUAACGAGCGCAACCCCUAUCGACAGUUGCUAGCAGGUAAAGCUGAGGACUCUGUCGAGACUGCCGGCGCAAGCUGUGAGGAAGGCGGGGAUGACGUCAAAUCAGCACGGCCCUUACGUCCGGGGCGACACACGUGUUACAAUGGCAGGUACAGCGGGAGGCCACCCGGCGACGGGGCGCAGAACCCGAAAACCUGUCUCAGUUCGGAUUGGAGUCUGCAACCCGACUCCAUGAAGCUGGAUUCGCUAGUAAUCGCGCAUCAGCCACGGCGCGGUGAAUACGUUCCCGGGCC
RNAcentral lists this ribosomal RNA (639 nucleotides) under uncultured bacterium. Its description in RNAcentral is "bacterial SSU rRNA". It matches the Rfam family "Bacterial small subunit ribosomal RNA", at positions 743 to 1380 of the family's 1533-position model. The record is from RNAcentral.